This 253-nucleotide ribosomal RNA is filed under the name uncultured bacterium. RNAcentral's name for it is "partial 16S ribosomal RNA". It matches the Rfam family "Bacterial small subunit ribosomal RNA", at positions 524 to 776 of the family's 1533-position model. The record is from RNAcentral.
UACGUAGGGUGCAAGCGUUAAUCGGAAUUACUGGGCGUAAAGCGUGCGCAGGCGGUGAUGUAAGACAGGUGUGAAAUCCCCGGGCUCAACUUGGGAACUGCAUUUGUGACUGCAUCGCUGGAGUGCGGCAGAGGGGGAUGGAAUUCCGCGUGUAGCAGUGAAAUGCGUAGAUAUGCGGAGGAACACCGAUGGCGAAGGCAAUCCCCUGGGCCUGCACUGACGCUCAUGCACGAAAGCGUGGGGAGCAGACAGG